AACGAACGCUGGCGGCAGGCUUAACACAUGCAAGUCGAACGCCCCGCAAGGGGAGUGGCAGACGGGUGAGUAACACGUGGGAACCUUCCUAGAGGUACGGAACAACGCAGGGAAACUUGCGCUAAUACCGUAUACGCUCGAGAGAGGAAAGAUUUAUCGCCUUUAGACGGGCCCGCGGGGGAUUAGCCAGUUGGUGGGGUAACGGCCUACCAAGCCGACGAUCCGUAGCCGAUCUUAGAGGAUGAUCAGCCACACUGGGUCUGAGACACGGCCCAGACUGCUACGGGAGGCAGCAGUGGGGAAUCUUGGACAAUGGGCGCAAGCCUGCUCCAGCCAUGCCGCGUGAGUGAAGAAGGCCUUCGGGUUGUAAAGCUCUUUUGUCAGGGACGAUAAUGACGGUACCUGAAGAAUAAGCCCCGGCAAACUUCGUGCCAGCCGCCGCAGUAA
RNAcentral lists this ribosomal RNA (447 nucleotides) under uncultured bacterium. RNAcentral describes it as "partial 16S ribosomal RNA". It matches the Rfam family "Bacterial small subunit ribosomal RNA", at positions 29 to 523 of the family's 1533-position model. The record is from RNAcentral.